CGGACAGGAAAGGUGAACGAUGAAGGGAAGAGUCUAGGGGAAGGAGGAUGUAGUAACACGGUAUUAGCUGUGCAAAAUUUCCGAAGCUUACAUGAGACGAUGCGUUAAUUGGUGUGGUACUAAUUAGCCUCAUUAACCUUUCUCUCGAUUCGCGAGUAACACUUGGAAAUAGGCCACGCUUGCAAAUCGUUCCAUAAGGAGAUACUUUCUAAACGACGACGACGAUGACGACGACGACGACGACGACGACGACGACGACGACGACGACGACGACGACGACGACGACGACGACGAUGAUGACGACGAUGAAAGAGGACAACUACGUCAACGAUGAAAUACUUCUAUCGAUAUUAAGAAUACCAACUAUAGAUACUCGCAUCGUUCUCGAUUUUGAGAGUCAUAUAUAUAUAUAUAUGUAUGUAUGCUUUAAAUUACCUUUUUUUUACCUUAACAUAAAGAAAAAAAAAUACGAUAGUAAAAAGUAAAUGGCUCGUACGUACAUACGUACAAACGUAGGAAGAUAGGUAGUUUGUUAUCUAUAUAACACAUAUAAGUAGUUAUGUAGACAUGUUGUUUACAGGAAAUGAGCUACUAUUAGAUCUAUUAUAAAUAACAUAAGAAAAAGAAAUGUGUACAAUAAAAUGCGAUCUUUUCUUUACGACGAUUUGACCACGAUGUGAUGGUGACAUCGAGUAGUAACAGGUAAUAAAGUUAAGUAAUAUUUACUAACAGGUAAGGUAGGGCCGCGCUCGUAGCAGGUCCUCGGGGAAUGCAAUGAUCUUUUCUGAAUCGUAUCGCGACAGAGCAGCCCACGAAGCGCAUAAAAUGCGUACGUUCAAAAAAAAAAAAAAAAAGGAAGAGAAGAGAGAGAGAGAGAGUUGAAUAAAUUAUUCAUUCGAAAGAUAUGAAACUUCGAAACUGUUUUCUCUCUCUCUAUCAAAAAAGAAAAAAGAAAAAUAAAGAUAAAUAAGUAAAUAAAUAAAAAAUAAAUAAAAGGAAUAAAAAAUCUAUUCGAGUAACGACGAUGUCAAUUGAUGAUCCUUAUACGACAUUAUUAUUAUUAUCAUCUAUCUAUUAUUUAAAAAAAAAAAAUUUUUUUUCUUCGUUUUCUUCUCCUUACUAUUAUUAUUAUUAUUAUUAUUAUUAUUAUUAUUAUUAUUAUUAUUAUUAUUAUUAUUAUUAUUAUUAUUAUUAUAAAAUAUGGCUUUGGCUUUGGACUAAUUAAACGGAUGGAUUUACAUUGAACGGCUCGUCUUUAUCGGCGAUUUCCCCUUCGAUCAAUCCAGAUUCUCGGCGUCAUUGCACAAAGAUAGAUUCGCAACUACCCCAUAAUGUACGUCACCGAGUUUAUGAGGCUUGAAAAGGCCAUUCGGCUGCACCUUUGGCGGUCGAGCUAAAGGACGUGAUUAUACGAGUCGCUGAAAAGAGAGCUCUCGCUCCUUUCCGCGUAUAGCUCGAAAUCGAUGAUACGAGUCGUCGACUUUAUCCCCUGCGGAGAGAGAGAAAGAAAGAGGGAGAAAGAGGUAGCGGAGGAGGGCUUCGCAAAGAGUUCGACGAUGUAUAGAAACCCAUUAACGCACAAAAUGGUAUUACCAAGUAAACACGAUUCUUUCUCGCAGCUUUCCCGUUGCGUCGAUUUUUGUUUCUUUACUUCUUUUUUUUCUUUCUCCUUUCCUUCCUUUUUUUUUACCUCUCUCCUCUUUAUUUUUUGACGGUUCCAUAGAGAUCAUUCUUAAAGUUUACGUGACGUUUCACUUCA
Vespa crabro (European hornet) is the source of this 1759-nucleotide long non-coding RNA. RefSeq lists it as uncharacterized. The transcript has 2 exons. Lineage: Eukaryota; Metazoa; Arthropoda; Insecta; Hymenoptera; Vespidae. The record is from RefSeq and is a predicted model, not a curated record.